This 156-nucleotide unclassified non-coding RNA is filed under the name uncultured Sordariomycetes. RNAcentral's name for it is "sequence contains ITS2". Lineage: Eukaryota; Fungi; Ascomycota; Sordariomycetes. The record is from RNAcentral.
CAACCCUCAGGCACGGCCUGGUGUUGGGGUUCUGUGGGAGACCACAGCCCCCGAAAGACAGUGGCGGGCUCUGCACGACCUCGAGCGUAGUACAUCUCCUCGCUUAGGGCGUCUGCGGCGACCCAGCCGUCAAAACACGCUGUAACAGCACUAUAA